CCUACGGGUGGCAGCAGUGGGGAAUAUUGCACAAUGGGGGAAACCCUGAUGCAGCGACGCCGCGUGAGUGAAGAAGUAUUUAGGUAUGUAAAGCUCUAUCAGCCGGGAAGCAGCACGACGGUACCUGACUCGGAAGCACCGGCUAACUACGUGCCAGCAGCCGCGGUAAUACGUAGGGAGCAAGCGUUAUCCGGAUUUACUGGGUGUAAAGGGAGCGUAGACGGUAUGGCAAGUCUGAAGUGAAAGCCCAGGGCUUAACCCUGGGACUGCUGUGGAAACUGUUAGACUAGAGUGCGGGAGAGGUAAGUGGAAUGCGUAGUGUAGCGGUGAAAUGCGUAGAUAUUACGAGGAACACCAGUGGCGAAGGCAGCUUACUGGACAGUAACUGACGUUGAGGCUCGAAAGCGUGGGGAGCAAACAGGAUUAGAUACCCGGGUAGUC
RNAcentral lists this ribosomal RNA (441 nucleotides) under uncultured bacterium. RNAcentral's name for it is "partial 16S ribosomal RNA". It matches the Rfam family "Bacterial small subunit ribosomal RNA", at positions 338 to 795 of the family's 1533-position model. The record is from RNAcentral.